This 32-nucleotide ribosomal RNA is filed under the name Fusarium fujikuroi. Its description in RNAcentral is "partial 18S ribosomal RNA". Lineage: Eukaryota; Fungi; Ascomycota; Sordariomycetes; Hypocreales; Nectriaceae. The record is from RNAcentral.
CCUCCGUAGGGUGAACCUGCGGAGGGAUCAUU